Dreissena polymorpha is the source of this 2207-nucleotide long non-coding RNA. RefSeq lists it as uncharacterized. The transcript has 3 exons. NCBI's taxonomy places the organism in Eukaryota, Metazoa, Mollusca, Bivalvia, Myida, Dreissenidae. The record is from RefSeq and is a predicted model, not a curated record.
GUGCGAAACUGGUUUGUUUGGAAAAAAUGGCUGCCGCCAUGAUGGUGCCUUUUUCACAUCGUCUGCAAGUUUAUGUGACGACCUGUUAAAAGUUUAACAGUGACACGCGCCAGUUCAUGUGUCAACGAGCGCAAAUUGUGAACGAUGGCUUGGAAAAAAUUCAGUUCAGAGUUCAAAGCGCCACCUUGCAACAAACAGCGCCAUGGAAACAGCUGUGGAGUGUUUGCAUUGAUGACUGCCAAAUGUUUGGUCAUGAAAAAGCAUCCCACAAUGUUGCGACAGGCCCAUGAUUCAGUUUAUCGAGACUAGUCGUGAGACGCAGACUUUUGAUUCAUGGAGUGCGGCAAACAUAUCUGUGCGACUCGAUCACUCCACUGUAAAGACCCGCACGGCAUUAAAAUGGAUAUUAUCAAUAUGUGUUGUUGCUCGAAAAUAUGUUUUUGUAGCAGGAAGUGCUUUGGGCUCGAUUAAUCUGAGAACUCGACAAAAUAUUAAUAAAAUCCUUCUGUGCCUUUUAGUUCUGAAAACAGAAGUAGCAAGUUGGUAUUACACAUCUCCUAAACAAGUACAAUACAACUUAAGGUUUUAAAUCCUACAUUUUUAUAACAUCUUUAUAUUCACACAAAAAUAUUGAUGAUUGUGGUGCUCAGAUUGCAAAACCACCUGUUUGGCAAAAAUAAUGCAGAUGGUUAGAUUAUGAUAAGUGCAAGAAAAAAAGAAUAACUCUGGAGAUAAUUGAUAUGAUAAUCAUUGUUUGACAGAAUCACAAUUGACCUAGAUAUUUAUUUAUGUAGUGGUAUAUUUUUCAAUGAGUGCCUUAAGAUUCCAAAAACAUAUUGACUUAAAAUAAAUAAUCCGGAUGGCGUAAAUGACUUAUCAUUUCAUGUUCAUGAACCGGUUUUAAAAUACUUUGUAGACUUAUCUGCUAGGCGGUGAGGACUUUUAGACCACCUGAUAAACUUCAACUUUAUUUGCCCUAGUUAAGUAACCGACUAAAGAUAUGCUAACAUAAUACUGAUGACUGAUGAGUCUGUUGUGUCUUAUAUUCUCAUUGCUACUAAAAAUAUUAAGUCUUUUUCAACGUUUAGACUAAUAAUAAGCAAAUUCGUUAAAUUGAUAUCCCCCGCCAAAUAAAUUUUGAUUAUUGAUGGGUGCAGAACUAACAGAAAAGUUUAUUUGAAGGGUUGUACCCUUAUCUCACUUAUUUAAAAGUAACAACAUAAAAAAAACCCAUUGGCAAUAACUCUUAUUUAAGAAAGUGUAGGGUUAUAGAUUUUGUGCAUGACACCUCUCCUCAUUGAUAUCUUAACAUCCAUUAAAUUUCAUCUUUAAAUCGUGUAUAGUAUCUGUGAUAUAGUCCUGUAAAGUAACAUCAGACAUGUACAUAUGUACUAGGGUUAUGUUUCUUGUGCAUGGCACUUAUUCUCAUUGACAAUUAUACACCCAUGAAAUUUCAUGUUGAAAUCUUGUAUUUAUAGUUUCUGAUAUAAAGCCCUGAAAAGUUACAUCAUACAAAAACAACAAAGGGCAAUAACUCUUAUAUAAGAAAGUGAAGGGUUGUGGUUCUUAUGCAUGGUUCUAUAAAUGAGAUAUAGCCCUGAAAAGUUACAUCAUAAAAUAACAAUAACAAGAAAGGGCAAUAACAGUUAUGUAAGAAAGUAUACGGUUAUGGUUCUCGUGCAUUGAUAAUUAUACACCCAUGAAGUUUCAUUUUAAAAUCUUGUAUAGUAUCUGAGAUAUAGCCCUAGUUACAUCAUACAAAAACAACAAAGCGAAAUAACUCUUAUUAUGCCCCCCUUCGAAGAAGAGGGGGUAUAUUGCUUUGCUCAUGUCGGUCGGUCGGUCCGACGGGUUAUGGUUCUUGUGCAUUGCACCUCUCCUCAGCUAUAUUUAUACACCCAUAAAGUUUCAUGUUGAAAACUUAUAUUGAGUUUCUGAGAUAAAGUACUGAAAAGUUUGUGAGUGACUGCACUGACAGACAGACCAACGGUACGUUUAAGUAUAUUUAGCGUCCCGGGGUACAUUAAAGUAUACUUAAGAGUACACGGGGUACUUUAAAGCAUUACCGGAGCCGAACCGACAAUUACCAAUCGAGCUUAUUGACAUGUUAAAUAAAUGAUGAUAGUGGUAAAUAUGAUUGUGUGAAAUAUAAUACAAUAGUUUUCCUGAAUUGAGUGUACAUGUGAAUUAGCUAAAAUAAUGAUAAA